CGCUGGCGGCAUGCUUUACACAUGCAAGUCGAACGGCAGCGCGGGGCAACCUGGCGGCGAGUGGCGAACGGGUGAGUAAUAUAUCGGAACGUACCCAAGAGUGGGGGAUAACGUAGCGAAAGUUACGCUAAUACCGCAUACGAUCUAAGGAUGAAAGCAGGGGACCGCAAGGCCUUGUGCUCCUGGAGCGGCCGAUAUCUGAUUAGCUAGUUGGUGAGGUAAAGGCUCACCAAGGCGACGAUCAGUAGCUGGUCUGAGAGGACGACCAGCCACACUGGAACUGAGACACGGUCCAGACUCCUACGGGAGGCAGCAGUGGGGAAUUUUGGACAAUGGGCGCAAGCCUGAUCCAGCAAUGCCGCGUGAGUGAAGAAGGCCUUCGGGUUGUAAAGCUCUUUUGUCAGGGAAGAAACGGUGCGGGCUAAUAUCCCGCGCUAAUGACGGUACCUGAAGAAUAAGCACCGGCUAACUACGUGCCAGCAGCCGCGGUAAUACGUAGGGUGCAGGCGUUAAUCGGAAUUACUGGGCGUAAAGCGUGCGCAGGCGGUUUUGUAAGUCUGUCGUGAAAUCCCCGGGCUCAACCUGGGAAU
RNAcentral lists this ribosomal RNA (590 nucleotides) under uncultured beta proteobacterium. RNAcentral's name for it is "bacterial SSU rRNA". It matches the Rfam family "Bacterial small subunit ribosomal RNA", at positions 34 to 621 of the family's 1533-position model. The record is from RNAcentral. Lineage: Bacteria; Pseudomonadati; Pseudomonadota; Betaproteobacteria.